Molecule: long non-coding RNA, 599 nt
Filed under: Vulpes vulpes (red fox)
Lineage: Eukaryota; Metazoa; Chordata; Mammalia; Carnivora; Canidae
Description: lncRNA (ENSVVUG00000017720.1)
Source: RNAcentral
GUGAUGGGGAUGCAAAAAGGACCAGUGAUCUGACGGUCUGCCUCCAUGUGGGCACUGUCCAUCCGUGAGUUUCUGCUCACCGUCUCCAAGCCCCAACCUCUGUUCUUUGCCCUCUGAAUUUCUUCUUUCCACCUGGGCUGUCUUUUGUUCUCUUUCUCCCUGAGGCUAUGACGGUGGCAGGGUGCCCAGCCAGGACAUGGACAUCAGCCAUGGUUCUAGGUUCUCUGCAAGUGUGCGAGUGUGUGUGUAGGGGCUGGGGAUGGGGCUGGAGGUCAUUCACAGAUCAGAGCACAGGAGGCGAGAGAGAGCUUCUGAGGGUAGGACUGCCGGUCCUUCACACCCUACGCCCUGGAGCCCUGAGGACCUGUCACUCGGACCCACCACCAGCCAGAGCAGCAUCAGUCACUGACCAGAGGAGCCCAGAAGCCACAGGAGUGCCCACAUGGCUGGUACAUUGGAGACGCUCUGGAAUAAAUACACCUGGGCCUUUGAAAACGGAGUCCUUGGUUCAUGUCCAGAUGGAAGCCUCUGAGGUUGGCAGGACCCCUCGCUGCCUACAACCCGGGCCUGGUAGCUCUCUCAGGGUAUCUAUUCUGUGA